This 468-nucleotide ribosomal RNA is filed under the name uncultured bacterium. RNAcentral describes it as "partial 16S ribosomal RNA". It matches the Rfam family "Bacterial small subunit ribosomal RNA", at positions 28 to 507 of the family's 1533-position model. The record is from RNAcentral.
GACGAAUGCUGGCGGCGUGCUUAACACAUGCAAGUCGAACGGAAAGGCCCUGCUUUUGUGGGGUGCUCGAGUGGCGAACGGGUGAGUAACACGUGAGUAACCUGCCCUUUACUUUGGGAUAACUUCAGGAAACUGGGGCUAAUACCGGAUAGGAGCUCCUGCUGCAUGGUGGGGGUUGGAAAGUUUCGGCGGUUGGGGAUGGACUCGCGGCUUAUCAGCUUGUUGGUGGGGUAGUGGCUUACCAAGGCUUUGACGGGUAGCCGGCCUGAGAGGGUGACCGGCCACAUUGGGACUGAGAUACGGCCCAGACUCCUACGGGAGGCAGCAGUGGGGAAUAUUGCAAAAUGGGCGGAAGCCUGAUGCAGCAACGCCGCGUGCGGGAUGACGGCCUUCGGGUUGUAAACCGCUUUCGCCUGUGACGAAGCGUGAGUGACGGUAAUGGGUAAAGAAGCACCGGCUAACUACGUG